AAGUGAGUUCACUUGUUUGAAUUACAGUGUCAGUAUGAAAUUGUUUUAUAUUUACCGCAUGAAUUUCUUUUCGUACAAAGUGUCGACUCUUAUUCUUAGGUUUUGAAGUUUUUUAUUUAAACUUAUCAAUUUAUUGGAUUUGAACUCGGCCACGUCACAAAUUUUAAAACUUGUAAAAUAAUAAAUUUUUUUUAUUGUAAUCAGAGUCUAAAAUGAUUAUUGUGGCGUUCCUCUUAUCAGUAUGACGACAUCUGAUCUAAUUCAAAAUAUCCUAGAAGGUAUAAAAAGUUUGGGCUGACUGGUUUGACCAGGGCUCGAACUCAAGAUGUCAGACUGCUAAUUCCAUCAUUUUUUAAGUAAUACUCCGAGCCAUACUACAAAUGCCAUCACUGUUUAAUUUACAAAGUUUCAUUUUGUUUUAGCGGGGAAGGAUUAUAAAUGAAGCAGUCAAGAAUGAUCCACCUCUCCCACAUGAUAAAGCUGUUAUAUUCUGCGACAUCUUGCCUCAUAUCACUGAGAGGAUGUGGCUGCACUACAGAGUAGAACCUGAAGAUAUUGAGAUGAUUCAGAGGAAAUUGGAUUCAAUUCCAACGACGGAACUGAGGGUGGGGAUGUACGAUCAUGACGUCAAAUCGGUUUACCUUCGCCAAAGAAGAUCUGAGCAACAACAGAAAUAAACAAAAUUGACUUGACUUUCAUGAAAUCAUUUGUUGAAGCAAGAUUUCAAUAUUCAGACGAUUUUAUUUUCCCUAAUUUUGAUUUCGAUGAGAAUGAUUUUUUGAAACUAUUUUAUUUUAAUGUGAUUUCACUGUUCAUAUUACCGCUCAUUUUGAACAGCUAGUCUGGUAUUUUAUUACAUUCAAAUAUAUCCGGUUUAAGUGAACUUGACUAUGUUGGCAUCAUAAGUUGAAUAUCUCGGGUUCAAACCCCAAGCCCACCACCUCACUCAGGGUCUAAUAAAUUUAAUACUCAAAAAUAUCAUCUUUUCAUGUAUCAGUGGCCGCUCGCACAGCCUUGUUUGAGAUGAAACUGUGAAACGUCUUAUGAAAUAGAUUCACGAGAACAUGAAAAAGCAGAUACUUUGACCAUGGUGAGGUGGCGGGAAUGGGGUUUGAACCCGAGAUUUUCACAACUUUAUAUAUCGUGACCAUCUCUGAUUUAUUCACAACUUCAUUUUUAUUCAGUCUCACAAUAUACAGUUGUUUCGGCAUGCUUUAUAUUAUAUAACGUACGUAAUCUAGUAUUUCACAUAAACGCUCAAAUUUUCUGAACAAAGCUCUGAACAAGCAGUUAACGCAUAGAGCUACUAAGUAUUUGAGCCCUAGAUUUGUAAUCCCGGCUAUCACAGACCUUUCCAUACUGAUAUGUUAAAUAAGAGUGACCACCCUAAAUAAGGAAACUCGGUGCUCUGGUAUCUAAUGAACUGUGUUGGGAUUCCUGUUACGACUCUCUAACAUCGAGUAGCUACGCGAUCUACUUGCAGUCCGGCAUCUUCCAACACUCGGUUGCGCAAUUUCAAACAUAUCCUGACGAUUUACCAAACUAAUCUUACAAAGCUCUGUUUGACUUUGUUAUUAGAGUGAUUCUUAUUUUUAUAUUUUAUUCCUUUUUAAAUAUUACUCAAUUUCAAAAUGCUCAAUUUGUCUUUACGAACCAGGCUCUAAACAAGCAUAGACAUAGCAUUGUUAGUGCAUAGAACUACUAUCAUGAGCAGGGAUUUGAACUUACUUUUACGUAAAUUUUUUUUUUAUAUUCGUACAGUAGUCCCGCUUUUUGUUGUUCAUGAAUUUUUAUUAUCAUUUGACAAUGUGUUUUUACUUGGUAGCUAUUCGGAGACACCAAGUCUGAGUCGCAAGUUUUAUUCGCAAGUUUUAGGUUUGUCAGCGCCAAGUUUUGUAGAAUGUAUUGUAAAAAUAAUCUCCCUAAAAAAAUAAGCUUCAUCAUAAACAAGCAAAAAGCUUUUUUACUACCCUGUAUUUUCACAAUCUUAAUUUUGUUAUUCUGGAGUGAAGCGCCGCUUUUGGAUUUUUUUGCAAACAUUUUUCCCCCUAUUUCCUGGGCAUUAGUCAUUUGUUUAUAUUUUAUGAUUAUGUGUGUCAAG
Styela clava is the source of this 2101-nucleotide non-coding RNA. NCBI's taxonomy places the organism in Eukaryota, Metazoa, Chordata, Ascidiacea, Stolidobranchia, Styelidae. The record is from RefSeq and is a predicted model, not a curated record.